GAUGAACGCUGGCGGCGUGCCUAAUACAUGCAAGUCGAGCGAACAGACGAGGAGCUUGCCCCUUUGACGUUAGCGGCGGACGGGUGAGUAACACGUAGGUAACCUACCUAUAAGACUGGGAUAACUUCGGGAAACCGGAGCUAAUACCGGAUAAUAUUUCGAACCGCAUGGUUCGAUAGUGAAAGAUGGCUUUGCUAUCACUUAUAGAUGGACCUGCGCCGUAUUAGCUAGUUGGUAAGGUAACGGCUUACCAAGGCAACGAUACGUAGCAGACCUGAGAGGGUGAUCGGCCACACUGGAACUGAGACACGGUACAGACUCCUACGGGAGGCAGCAGUAGGGAAUCUUCCGCAAUGGGCGAGAGCCUGACGGAGCAACGCCGCGUGAGUGAUGAAGGUCUUCGGAUCGUAGAACUCUGUUAUUAGGGAAGAACAAACGUGUAAGUAACUGUGCACGUCUUGACGGUACCUAAUCAGAAAGCCACGGCUAACUACGUG
This 497-nucleotide ribosomal RNA is filed under the name uncultured bacterium. RNAcentral's name for it is "partial 16S ribosomal RNA". It matches the Rfam family "Bacterial small subunit ribosomal RNA", at positions 28 to 507 of the family's 1533-position model. The record is from RNAcentral.